AUUUGACUCCAUCCCAAAAUUCUUGUCUUAGAUUUGUCUAGAUACGGAUGUAUCUAAUACUAAAACGUGACUUGAUACAUCCAUAUUUAGACAAAUCUAAGACAAGAAUUCUGGGACGGAGGGAGUAUUAU
This is a non-coding RNA of Triticum aestivum (bread wheat), 131 nucleotides long. The record is from Rfam. Lineage: Eukaryota; Viridiplantae; Streptophyta; Magnoliopsida; Poales; Poaceae.